This 270-nucleotide ribosomal RNA is filed under the name uncultured prokaryote. Its description in RNAcentral is "partial 16S ribosomal RNA". It matches the Rfam family "Bacterial small subunit ribosomal RNA", at positions 524 to 792 of the family's 1533-position model. The record is from RNAcentral.
UACGGAGAUGGCGAGCGUUGUUCGGAAUUACUGGGCGUAAAGGGCGCGUAGGCGGCUCUGCAAGUCGGGUGUGGAAGCCCUCGGCUCAACCGGGGAAUUGCGUCCGAAACUGCAGGGCUGGAGGACGGCAGGGGAGAGUGGAACUCCCGGUGGAGCGGUGAAAUGCGUAGAUAUCGGGAGGAACGCCGGCGGCGAAAGCGAUUCUCUGGGCCGUUCCUGACGCUGAGUGCGCGAAAGCCAGGGGAGCGAACGGGAUUAGAUACCCUCGUA